RNAcentral lists this transfer RNA (68 nucleotides) under Marmota monax (woodchuck). Its description in RNAcentral is "tRNA.Ala". The stretch from base 5 to 65 matches the Rfam family "tRNA", at positions 6 to 65 of the family's 71-position model. From Rfam's summary of the family: Transfer RNA (tRNA) molecules are approximately 80 nucleotides in length. Their secondary structure includes four short double-helical elements and three loops (D, anti-codon, and T loops). Further hydrogen bonds mediate the characteristic L-shaped molecular structure. tRNAs have two regions of fundamental functional importance: the anti-codon, which is responsible for specific mRNA codon recognition, and the 3' end, to which the tRNAs corresponding amino acid is attached (by aminoacyl-tRNA synthetases). tRNAs cope with the degeneracy of the genetic code in two manners: having more than one tRNA (with a specific anti-codon) for a particular amino acid; and 'wobble' base-pairing, i.e. permitting non-standard base-pairing at the 3rd anti-codon position. The record is from RNAcentral. Lineage: Eukaryota; Metazoa; Chordata; Mammalia; Rodentia; Sciuridae.
GGAUUGUGGCUCAAUGGUAGAGUGCUCGCCUAGCAUGUGUGAGGCCCUGGGUUCGAUCCUCAGCACCA